CCCGCCGUUCUCGCCGCCGCCGCCGCCGCCUUGGGAGCGGGUAAUUUAAGAACAAAUUAACUUGGAGAUGACUACGUUCCUGAAGAAAUCUACGGAACCGAUUUAGAUGAGGUUCAUGUUCCUGCAUUCCUGAAGGUUGGCUGAAAAAUCACCAAUUCAGAUGAGAAGAAUUCUCUUAUCUAAUGCAGCAGAAACACCAUUUUGGGAUUGAGCUAUAUGGCUGCCUAGAAGCUGUUGGAAGCAUUUAGCACAGUCAGCUUGAUGAACCGCAAAUGGAGCUCACCACUGAGAAAUCAAGAUGGCGUUCCACUGUUGAGUGGGAGUUAAGGAAAAUGAAUUAAUGCAUGUGUUGCUGGGAUAAAUCCAACCAAAACAGGGAUAUUUUAAGAUGGACUUCAUGAAAGCAUUGAAGAUGAUAGGUGUCUGACCAUCUUUUAAAAAUGGAUAUGGACUUUUAUGGCCUAAGGACUUAUGUCACUAAACAGAAGAUGGGACAUGGCACUUUGGAGAAUCAUUUUCAUGUACAGAUUCAACUUUACAGAAUGUAAACCUAACUAGAAUAUACAGUCAAUAUCACUUGUUCUUUGCUUUUCUAUGUGUUUGUACAAAAAAUGUACUAUUAUAUUUUGCGAUUCCUAGUAAUUUACUGAAUAAAAACCUAAUUUUUUUUACAUUUU
Tachyglossus aculeatus (Australian echidna) is the source of this 677-nucleotide long non-coding RNA. RefSeq lists it as uncharacterized. The record is from RefSeq and is a predicted model, not a curated record. NCBI's taxonomy places the organism in Eukaryota, Metazoa, Chordata, Mammalia, Monotremata, Tachyglossidae. The transcript has 5 exons.